GGGGAGCAAACAGGAUUAGAUACCCUGGUAGUCCACGCCCUNAACGAUGUCUACUAGUUGUCGGGUCUUAAUUGACUUGGUAACGCAGCUAACGCGUGAAGUAGACCGCCUGGGGAGUACGGUCGCAAGAUUAAAACUCAAAGGAAUUGACGGGGACCCGCACAAGCGGUGGAUGAUGUGGAUUAAUUCGAUGCAACGCGAAAAACCUUACCUACCCUUGACAUGUACAGAAUCCCGAAGAGAUUUGGGAGUGUUCGAAAGAAAACUGUAACACAGGUGCUGCAUGGCUGUCGUCAGCUCGUGUCGUGAGAUGUUGGGUUAAGUCCCGCAACGAGCGCAACCCUUGUCAUUAGUUGCUACGAAAGGGCACUCUAAUGAGACUGCCGGUGACAAACCGGAGGAAGGUGGGGAUGACGUCAAGUCCUCAUGGCCCUUAUGGGUAGGGCUUCACACGUCAUACAAUGGUACAUACAGAGGGCCGCCAACCCGNCGAGGGGGAGCUAAUCCCAGAAAGUGUAUCGUAGUCCGGAUUGUAGUCUGCAACUCGACUACAUGAAG
RNAcentral lists this ribosomal RNA (558 nucleotides) under Collimonas sp. KN-1. Its description in RNAcentral is "bacterial SSU rRNA". It matches the Rfam family "Bacterial small subunit ribosomal RNA", at positions 763 to 1325 of the family's 1533-position model. The record is from RNAcentral. Lineage: Bacteria; Pseudomonadati; Pseudomonadota; Betaproteobacteria; Burkholderiales; Oxalobacteraceae.